RNAcentral lists this long non-coding RNA (2117 nucleotides) under Marmota monax (woodchuck). Lineage: Eukaryota; Metazoa; Chordata; Mammalia; Rodentia; Sciuridae. The record is from RNAcentral.
GGUAGGUGCAGGGGAAAUCCAGGAUCUGAUUUUCCACAAGCAAAAUUGCAAAGUUGGCCAACAUUGUUUCUUUACAUUUCUUCCAGUCCCUUUGGUGAGAUAAGCUAAGUGAGUAGGGGUGUUUGUGUAUAUAGAUAUGACAGAUAAUUUAUCACACCUAUACUUCAUGGGGCCACUGGUACCCGUUGGUACUUGCAGAGUCAGUACUAUUAGAGAAAAAGUAAACUAACUGUGCAGAUGCCGUCAUGUGUGUUAUUGCAUUUGACUGUCACAGCAUCCCUUGCAGUGCACACCCUUGUAGAAGUGCAAACUAAGGUUCAGAGUGAUUAAGCAACUCGUGCAGAAUCCAGGGCCAAAGUACAUUUCACAGUAUCCCACUUUGUGUUACUUUAUUGAGGCAGAAGGGAAGAGAAAAGAGAGAAAAAAAGAUGAAAGGAAAGGGGAGGAGGAACAGUAGGUAAAGAAGUGAAGAAAAGGAGAUUCCUUUGUGUAGACGGGUGGCAAAACUAGCCCUAGAGAUGUACAGUGGAGGUGGAAGUCAAGCUCCUUUCCUAUGCUUCUUUGCCACAGUUUAUUGCCUUUACUUUGGGAAUGCCAUGUUUUCUGGAGCUUCCAGGCUUCCCUCUAACUCCCAUUAGCACCCCAUUUUGUUGAGACAUCGCCAGUGUUUCAGAUUCCAGAAUCACCUCUUUUUAUCUGUCCUACGAUGAUCUUGCUUUUCUCUAUGCAGUUGAAUGGGAAAUAAUCUUAUUAGAUAGGUCUAUAUUAGGGCAUGACUGCCUAAAGAUUCCCAUGCUAAAAGAAUCUUUUUAAAAAUAGUUUUUAGAUGUAGAUGGACAUAAUACCUUCAUUUUAUUUAUUUUUAUGUGGUGCCGAGGAUCAAACCCAGUGCCUCACACGUACCAGGCAAGUGCUCUACCCCUGAGCCACAAUGCCAGCCCCACUGAAAGAAUCUUCAUAGAUAAACAUCUGACCAAUAUCAUUACAAACAAAAUAAAAAGGAGAAAGAGAGAAAAGAAAAAAAAAUCAGGCUGUUGGGGGAAGGUAAGAUAUUCUCUAGACUGGGAAAUGUCAGAAGCCAAUAGGAGGGUGGAGUGGGUAUUCCAGCUGCAAUUCCACGGCAAUGCGGGGACCUGAGAUGGAAGCUUAGAAGGUACAUAGCAAAUUGGGAGUUUCUAUAUAGGAGAGAAUCUGUGUAUGAAAAAGAGGGCAGAUCCCAGGCUGAAACAAAGAAAUAAGCGAGUGUGAAAUGGAGCAAUGUUAGAGAAGGCAGGCAUGCCACUGAAUUUUGACCCAUGAGGGCCUCCUUCAAGAGCUGCUGGUGUUUGCUCCUAAGGAGCAGAUUCCAUGAAGACAAUGUGUUUCCUGCUUUCAAGGACACAGGUUAGUACUUGUGGCUCAGGGCUGGGCAUUCAGCCCCAGCUGUUGGCCCUGCCACGUACUCAGUGGUGGGAGGGGAAGGCAACUCCUGGGAAUGGCUUCCUGUUUCCUUGUGCCAAGUCCAAGAAAAGAUGAAAACAAAACAAUUUCACCUGCAAUCUCAAUGGAGGUGUUUUCCGCCAAACAUCAUUGUUAUUGACAUGACCAGCUUGCAAUGAUUAAUUAAGCAAAUACUGGAGGCAUAAAUGCUUUUGUUCUUCUGGUUUAAAAGUGACUUGGAAUUUAUUCUCCCCUUCCAAAUGAGUUACCAAUAGAGGUUAUAGAGGUGACUUAUACCAGGCCACUUGGCAAGCCAAUAGGUUCAAUCCCUACAUGCAUAGCACACACUGUCAGCCUGAUUGGAGGAAUGGUGCAAAAUUCCUCCACCACAUUCUCACACCGCUCCCUACCUGCUCCUCUGCCAGUGUGUGUCAUUUCUAGAAUUGAGAGUCAUUUCCUGGUGUCAUCUUAGGAUAGCAACAGCACUUUGAGCUUUUAUAAAACAUUUACCUAGUGCAAUAUUCUUCUCAUAUCCCUUUCUGAGACAAUUAGCUGGAAGCCAGGCCUUUGGGGAAUAAGGCAGGAAUGAGAGGCCUCACCUUGUUGAAGGAGAAGGAAGGGAAGAACAAACAUGGAAAUUUACCAAAAAUAAACCUGCUGAUUAUGGCCCAGUCUUGCUUCCAGCUGGACAGCUACCC